AAAAAGAACAUUUAUAAAGGAAGAUGCAAGGAUAUUUUUGAAGGAUAUUUUUGAAGGCCUGUUUAAAUCCUUGCAUGUUCCUACAAAUAUCAUAACUUGAAUAUAACUAAAAUGUUGCACGGACCCGUUUUCGUGUGCUCCUAGAGCCUAGGUCUCAAGUGUUUAAACACGGGCACUAGGCUCUCAAUGCCUUUUUCACGUGUUCCUAGAGGCUAGGUCUCAAGUGUUUAAACACGGGCACUAGGCUCUAAAUGCCUUUUUCACGUGUUCCUAGAGGCUAGGUCUCGAGUGUUUAAACACGGGCACUAGGCUAUCAAUGCCUUUAUCACGUGUUCCUAGAGGCUAGGUCUCAAGUGUUUAAACACGGGCACUAGGCUCUCAAUGCCUUUUUCACGUGUUCCUAGAGGCUAGGUCUCAAGUGUUUAAACACGAGCACUAGGCUCUAAAUGCCUUUUUCACGUGUUCCUAGAGGCUAGGUCUCGAGUGUUUAAACACGGGCACUAGGCUCUCAAUGCCUUUAUCACGUGUUCCUAGAGGCUAGGUCUCAAGUGUUUAAACACGGGCACUAGGCUCUAAAUGCCUUUUUCACGUGUUCCUAGAGGCUAGGUCUCGAGUGUUUAAACACGGGCACUAGGCUCUCAAUGCCUUUAUCACGUGUUCCUAGAGGCUAGGUCUCAAGUGUUUAAACACGGGCACUAGGCUCUCAAUGCCUUUUUCACGUGUUCCUAGAGGCUAGGUCUCGAGUGUUUAAACACGGGCACUAGGCUCUCAAUGCCUUUUUCACGUGUUCCGUGUUUAAACACGGGCACUAGACUCUCAAUUCCCUUUUUGCGUUGUCCUAGUUGAUCGGCCCCAUGUGUUUAACCAACCAACCAAACCACCUACCUACCAACCAACCAACCAUUACAUGCUUGUUGUGGUCCCUUGUGUUUAAUACAGGUCCAAGAUCUCAUUUGUUUCGUCUUUGCUUGUUUCAAGCGACCCUAUCCUACGUGUGUAAUCAAUCAAUCAAUCAAUCAACCAAUCAAUCAAUCAAACAAUCAAUCAAUCAGUCAAUCAAUCAAUCAAUCAAUCCAUCAAUUAAUCAAUCAAUCAAUCAUGUUUCGGAGGGGAAAGACCGUUAACAAUUGUUUUUAAAACAAUUGAUUUAUAUUUAGGUCUUUCCACUUUUCCGUGGAAAGACCUAUUGAUUUUGUUCUGAUUAUUAUUAUUAAGUCUUUCCACUUUUCCAUGGAAAGACCUAUUGAUUUUGUUCUGUUUAUUAUUAUUAUUUUUUUUUUCUUCCGCCUAAUUUUUUUCUUGCGUAGUAUUGUUGUUUCAUAAGAUGUCGCUUAUAUAUUUGGUAUGUGAUAUCGAACAGUUUAAACGCUUUUGAAACUGACAACCGCUUAACCGAAUACUUUACGUGGUAAGAGUUAUCUCCCCAAACACUGUUUUUCAUGUGGCCACUACUCCUUCGCAACCGUAAAAGAUUACGACAAAUUUAUUUUACCAAAUUGCUCGCUAUAUCUUCAGGAUGUUGAGUUUGGUUUUCACCGAAGCGUUCCGGAGACUCCAUAUGAGAGUUAUUUCCCUUAUGCAUUUGAUAUAAGUGAUAUGCAUUUCUAACUGGUAAACCAUAAGUGAUAGAGACCUAGGGUCUUUUGAUUUGAGGUCCUUGGUCCAAAAAAAAAGAAAAUUAGGUCAAGGUCAAAGGUCAAGGUCAUAUUCUGAAUUUUGAUUUUGGCUUAUUUUCACUCCGUAUAAGAUAUCGACAACAUAUUAUUACUAAAUUGUUAGUUGCGACAUGUCGUAACACACACAUUUUGGUUUAAAGGGUGCGCUAACAUUAAAUUAGAGUUUUCUCCCCUCUUGUAUUUAAAAAUACGCGUAUGGUGAUAUAACUCAUUAACCAUAUAUAACUAAGACCUAGGGUCUUUUGAUUCGAGGUCCUUGGUUUAUGACCUUGAAAUUGAGCUCAAGGUCAUAGGUAAAUUUGACGUUCUAGAUUUUGACCUUUGCUUUUACCUCAUAUGUAUACAUGAUAAAGCCAUGGGACUUUUUGCAUUAGGUUGCAAGCCAUUUGACCUUGAAAAAUCCAACCGGAAGUGACCUUGUGUAAACCGGAAGUAGCUAUUCUUUGUACUUAUUUAAUAUAAAAGUAUAUAGAACCAUAUAUUUUUGGAAUCAGUGUCAAGUAAACAUUCAAAUUAUACCGA
Mytilus californianus (California mussel) is the source of this 2198-nucleotide long non-coding RNA. RefSeq lists it as uncharacterized. The record is from RefSeq and is a predicted model, not a curated record. The transcript is spliced from 4 exons. NCBI's taxonomy places the organism in Eukaryota, Metazoa, Mollusca, Bivalvia, Mytilida, Mytilidae.